This 174-nucleotide unclassified non-coding RNA is filed under the name uncultured fungus. RNAcentral describes it as "sequence contains ITS1". The record is from RNAcentral. Lineage: Eukaryota; Fungi.
CCACUGUCAAAGGGCGUGUUUUCCGAGAGGUCUCGCGCCCGGCCAUUGAGAAAUGGUUUACCCUUGCUUAUCGAAGUACCGUUACGUUUCCUCGGCGAGCUCGCUCGCCAAUGGGGACUCCAAACCAAACUCUUUGCAGUAGCAAUUCUAGUCUGAAACAAAACAAAUCAAUUA